GAUGAAUUGCCUGAUAAAAGGAUUACCUUGAUAGGGUAAAUUAUGUAUUUAUAUACAUUCAUUA
This 64-nucleotide transfer RNA is filed under the name Rutilia goerlingiana. RNAcentral's name for it is "tRNA-Ile". Lineage: Eukaryota; Metazoa; Arthropoda; Insecta; Diptera; Tachinidae. The record is from RNAcentral.